This 2742-nucleotide long non-coding RNA is filed under the name Anolis carolinensis (green anole). RNAcentral describes it as "lncRNA (ENSACAG00000007892.4)". The record is from RNAcentral. Lineage: Eukaryota; Metazoa; Chordata; Lepidosauria; Squamata; Anolidae.
AUGCAACCUGCUGUCAUGUCAUCCUCCCCCCAACUCUGUUUGUUUUGCUGUAAUCUUGAUCUUUUUCCAGAGUGUCCAGAGCGGCUGGUGGCCAUCCGAGACAAACUGCUGCAAUGUGGACUGCUGGAGCGCUGUGUCCCAGUGCUGGCCCGAGAAAUUUCUGAGGAAGAGAUCCUUUUGGCUCACAGUCCGGAGUACCUGGCACUGAUGAAAUCAACUGAAACAAUGAGCAAGGCUGAGCUAAAAUCCCUGUCAGACACAUUUGAUUCAGUUUAUCUACAUCCAAAUUCCUACCACUGUGCCUGCCUCGCUGCUGGAUCUGUCCUGCAAGUCGUGGAGAAAGUCUGGUCUGGGGAGCUCUGUAAUGGGCUUGCUGUGGUCAGGCCACCUGGACACCAUGCUCAGCAUGAUAAGAUGGAUGGCUACUGUAUGUUCAACAAUGUAGGCAUUGCAGCCCAAUAUGCUCGGCAGAAAUUGGGAGUUGACCGGGUGCUUAUUGUUGAUUGGGAUGUGCAUCACGGGCAAGGCACCCAGUACUUAUUUGAAGACAAUCCCAGUGUCUGUUAUUUUUCCAUCCAUCGCUAUGAAGGUGGCAACUUCUGGCCACACCUCCCUGAGUCCGACAGCCAUGCCGUGGGCAGAGGUCGGGGAGAGGGAUACAACAUCAACGUGCCCUGGGACCAGAUAGGAAUGGGGGAUGCAGACUACCUCGCUGCCUUUUUGCAUAUCCUGAUGCCUGUGGCCUUAGAGUUUCAGCCCCAGUUGGUACUGGUUGCUGCUGGCUUUGACUCUGUAAUUGGUGACCCUAAGGGAGAAAUGGCCACCACCCCUGGAUGUUUUGCUCACCUGGCACAUCUGUUGAUGCCCCUGUCUGGAGGCAAGCUGGUUCUGUCUCUUGAGGGUGGGUACAAUCUCCAGUCCUUGGCAGAGGGAACCUGCACAGUCCUCAAGGCUCUUCUUGGAGACCCCUGCCCUCUGCUGGACUCACCCCUUGCACCAUGCAGAAGUGCCCUCCAUUCGGUGUCCCAGACGAUUGCAGCUCAUAGCAAAUUCUGGAAGGCUCUAAGAAGGAUCAUCAGUGUAACUUUGCAACCACUCAGCACCCCAUCUGUAAAUGAGAUCCUGUCUAAGUCAGCAGCUGAACUGAUGAAACCCCUGCCACCUUCACGCACAGGGAUAGUCUAUGAUGAGAAGAUGAUGGAGCAUUACAAUAUGUGGGACAGUCAACACCCAGAGUUGCCUCAGAGAGUCUCCCGGAUCUUCCAGCGCCAUGGGGAGCUACGUCUCACAGAGCGGUGCUGUCGGCUCUCAGCUCGGCUUGCCUCUGAAGAGGAGCUGCGGAUGUGCCAUAGCCUGGCCUAUGUGGAGACAGUGAAGUCAACAGCCACCAUGAAGCCCCGCGACCUGCAUCGCCAGGGUGACCAGUACAAUUCCAUCUUCAUCUGCACCAGCUCCUAUGAAUGUGCCCGGCUGGCGGCUGGUUCCGCCUUCAGCGCCGUUGAAGCUGUGCUCUCUGGGGAGGUUCAAAAUGCUGUGGCCAUUGUCCGACCCCCCGGACACCAUGCUGAAUCGGACACCGCCUGUGGCUUCUGCUUCUUCAACUCUGUGGCCUUGUCUGCUCGAUAUGCACAGCGCCUGACUGGGAGGCCUAUGAGGGUGAUGAUACUGGACUGGGAUGUUCACCAUGGCAAUGGGACCCAGCAUAUGUUUGAAAAUGAUCCCAGUGUCUUGUACAUCUCCAUCCAUCGAUAUGACAAUGGGACUUUCUUCCCCACCUCUGAGGAUGCGGACUAUGACCAGGUGGGCUUGGGGCCUGGCAAGGGCUUCACCCUUAAUGUGCCUUGGAACUGUCCCCGGAUGGGAGACCCCGAAUACCUGGCUGCCUUCCAUCAGAUUGUCAUGCCUGUUGCCUAUGAGUUCAAUCCAGAGCUGGUCCUGGUUUCUGCUGGUUUCGAUGCUGCUCGCGGGGACCCUCUGGGUGGAUGCCUUGUGACCCCCGAAUGUAAGGCACACAUGACCCAUCUUCUCUUGGGCCUGGCAGGACGGAGGCUGAUAGGCGGCUACAACCUAGAGUCCAUAUCGGAGUCCAUGACCAUGUGCACUCGCAGCCUCCUAGGGGAUCCUCCCCCUGCCUUGGGACGCCUCAAGGCUCCUCACCCCAGUGCUCUGCAGUCUUUGGCCUGUGUAGCGUCUGUGCACCGCAAGUAUUGGGCCAGCCUCCGACUGGAAGGUGAGUAUUUUUUCCAGACCAUUAGCCGUUUUGUUUGGUGGCAGGUGAGCCCACCAGACCACCCCACAGUAAAAGUUGAGAUAGAGCUACUGGAUGAAGCCACAGGUGGAUGUUCUUCCUUCUGUGAGACACUUGGAGAUGAUCCAGGGCUGUUCUAUGCUGUCACACCCUUAUCAUGGUGUCCGCACCUUGACUCGGUGUUACCUGUUCCUCCCACUGGCUUGAAUGUGCUGGAGCCUUGUUCAGAAUGCGGCAGCAAGGUGGAGAAUUGGAUCUGCUUGGUUUGCUACAAGGUUUGCUGUGGUCGCUAUAUUAAUCAGCACAUGGUCGCUCACAAUUCAGAAUCGGGGCAUCCGCUGGUGCUCAGCUUUGCAGAUCUCUCUGCCUGGUGCUAUGAGUGCCAAGCCUACGUCCACCACCCGGUGAGUUUGGAGCCAUACAGUAACAGAUACCCAGUCCUAGCCUCAAAAACUUUGAAGUCAGCAGUGAUAUAUUGGUUACCCUUACUGUAG